This is a long non-coding RNA of Mytilus californianus (California mussel), 771 nucleotides long. RefSeq lists it as uncharacterized. The record is from RefSeq and is a predicted model, not a curated record. The transcript has 3 exons. NCBI's taxonomy places the organism in Eukaryota, Metazoa, Mollusca, Bivalvia, Mytilida, Mytilidae.
UGCCAGUAAGGGGAAACAACUCCUUACUAUAAUGCAACCGCCAUGUUUAUGCGGGGAAGACCGAGUUUUGUGUUUACAAAAAGGUUGAUUUAGCGGAUCGUAUAUAUCAGAAUGACACAUGCUGUUCUGAUUGCAGAGGUAUGUGAAAUGGAAAGAAAGAGAUACAUGUACAUACAGAGACUGUUUGAAUUUAAGGUGUAAAAAUGAGCUACAUGUACAAGAAAAGAUGUUGAAAAUACCAGGUCUGGACCUUUGUGGCUGCAUGGAAUUAAUUCUGAAAUACCAGGAAACAAGAUGUAGCUGCACAGCAGACAUGGCAGAUCUUUAAAUUGCUAAUAGGCAUCAACUCAACAUUUUCAAGCUGCAUAUAAAAGGAAAAGCAUUCCUUUUCAUAGAAUCCAAGAAUUUUUUAACCAAGUCAAGUGGUUAUUAGACCUGUUAUCAUGAAAAUACUAACAUAUAUAUUAGUAUUUACAGUCAUAUGUAAUAUCCCAAAUAUAAGAACUAUUUGGUAUGUGUGACUAUCUUUCUUCCCAUGUCAUGUUACAUGUAUGCUCAGAAUAUUUUAAUGUCACAAGGAUAUGAAAUGGAUAAAUGAUAUAUUGUCAACCAUUUAAAUAAAACAGACAGGCUCACAUAUAAAUUAACUGUCUAUGUGAAAGUUCAAGUUGACUAAAAUUGUCUAGAAUUAAAAAAAAACAAAUAUCCAAAAGUACAGAAUUGCCUUUCUCAGAAAUUUUGUAUGUUUAAUAGAAUGAUACUUGUAGCUUC